ACAGGUUUUCUUUCUUUGUUAUGUCUACGUGUACAGAUCGUGUUCAAAAUAGAUGCAGCCAUGCCAGACUUCCGUGACCUAAAACGCCUCAUAUUAGUGUACAAAGGAUCGUGUACAAAGGAUGCCAGACUUCCGUGACCUAAAAUGCCAGACUUCUGUUAUGUCUACUUUUAACAGUCACUGAAACAGUACAGCAUAGUUGCAUCAAUCAACAUAUCACAAAUUCUUUGGCCGACGAUAUUUGAGGUUCAGAGCAGUCCUUGAGAGUAGUUUUGACUGGAUUCCAAAUUGAUUUGGAAUUAACAACCUGGAUCACAUGCCCGCGACAGCGCAUUAGUAAUGAAACAAUUCUCGGAUUAGUAAUUCUCGGAAACAAUCAGCAAAGUAGAAUUGUGUCCCUCCAAACUUGUCAGAAUAGCACAACCGCAUAUGAAUCAAUUAACACAGCAAUGGGAAGAUAAAGAAUUAUUGUGAAUAGCAAAGAAUAGGUAAGAUCGCAUGAAAAUAUGUUACCUUUCUAGAUUCUAAACCUGUACAAUAGCAAGCUGCGCUUGUGAUCUUCGACGGCCUUCAUCAGCCUGCAGGAAGAUGAACAUGACAUCUUAGCAUCUUGGAUUCUUAACAUGUAUCCAGCAGAGUCAGUUCACAAAAAAUGCAAAGUAGCAAAGUCUGACAGGUUUGGAGGGACAUAAUGAAACCUCACGCCCACCAAAUAUGUUACCUUUCUAGAUUCUAAACCUGUACAAUAGCAAGCUGCGCUUGUGAUCUUCGACGGCCUUCAUCUGCCUGCAGGAAGAUGAACAUGACAUCUUAGCAUCUUGGAUUCUUAACAUGUAUCCAGCAGAGUCAGUUCAGAAAAAAUGCAAAGUAGCAAAGUUUGUUCGACAUGUCUUUCUAUUUUCAUAUAUAUAGCAAGACUCAUAAAUCUGUAACAUCCUGCCCUUAUGGACUGAAUCUGUUGGAUAUGUCUUUUUUUAGUAGUUACAUAUGGGGACUCCACACAGCAAGCCAGCGGAACAGACAACUUCAUCACAUGUACCUGCAGGUAUAUGUUCACCUAUAAAUUGUGCUACACAAGUCAAACAUAUAUAUGUUCAACUAUAUAUGUGUUGCAGGCCCGAUGGAGGGGACAAGUGUUGACGACUCUAACGAAGUGAUUAUACCCGUAGCCGAUGAUGUUGACAAAAUUUACCCACGUAGUCCAGGUAUAAGGUUUAUUUUUAUCCUUUUUAGUUGAAAAUCAUACCUAACAGACUUGGGCACACCCGAUUCUAAUGUAUCAACAUCUUUACUUCUAGGAGUCCAUAUUACUCCCUCCGAACGAAUGAUACUUGAGACCGAUGGUGAUAGCACAUAUGAUACUCCAGGUAUAUAUCAACCUCCUUGUAUAUGUUGAGCUACAUAUUUUGGUAUGGAUGUCAAACACCAUCACAGGAGAUGUUGCAGGCCCGAUGGAGGGGCCAAAUGGUGACGACUCUAUACAAGGAGUUAUACCUGGAGCCGACGAUGUUCACAAGAAUUACCCAAGUAGUCCAGGUACUAAGGCUGUGCAUAUAUACUGAGAUUGCUUUUAUGCUUUUUAUUAUGUGAUAAAUCAAACCUAACACACUUGGGCAGAGCCGAUUCUAAUAGAUCAAGCGUGUUACUUGUAGGAGUCCAUAUUACUCACUCGGACAUGACGAUACUUGAACAGGCCGAUUGUGAAAUGACAUAUGUUCAUCAACCUUCCCAUCUGAUUUCGGGUACGUAUUAUGUUGUAUAAAGGUUAAGACCAUGUGCCUAGAACUUUGCCUUGUUUCUGCGAUGAUAUUAUAUAUACUGAGAUUGCUUUUAUGCUUUUUAUGUGAUAAAUCAAACCUAACAGACUUGGGCAGAACCGAUUCUAAUAGAUCAAGCGUGUGACUUGUAGGAGUCCAUAUUACUCACUCGGACAGGACGAUACUUGAACAGGCCGAUUCUGAAAGGACAUAUGUUCAUCAACCUUCCCAUCUGAUUUCGGGUAAGUAUUAUGUUGUAGAAAGGUUAAGACCAUGUGCCUACAACUUUGUCUUGUUUUCGGUUCAAUAUAUUGUUAUGUUAACAUGAUGCAGACAACCCUCCAAUCUCAUUCCUAUAUAAUGUAGAUUCGUUGCCAGCUCUCAGUUAUCUGACAAAAUAACUAGCUAGCAUGCAACGUGACAGUUGGCAAGAGAGGCCGCAUAAUGUUCCACGCCAUCCUCACAGUGAUAUCACUAAUGCAGAUCAACCAUCCUCUGUGGACCUUGACGAAAAAAGAGAGUUGAUAAAAGCUCGGAGGCGAGCUGCUUAUAGAAAGAAAAAAGAGGAGGCUACCGUCAAGCAACAAGAGGAAAAUCUGUCUGCCCUUACGAUAUCAGGUAAGAAUGCUUUAUGGGAAGGCACUGCGAUGAUAUUAUAUAUACUCCCUCCAUUCCAGAAUAUAAUUUUAAUAUCAUUUCACAUGCAGAUAUGCUGAAUGUGGGUGGGUUACCUCUCGGUGAUAUCACUAAUGUGUGUCAACCAACCACGGUGGACCUUGACGAUAAAAAAGAGCAACUAAAGUCUCGGAGAAGAGCUGCUUAUCGAAAGAAAAAAGAGGAGGCAGCCAGCAAGCAAAAAGAUGAAAAUCUGACUGCCCUUUCGAUAUCAGGUAAGGAUGUUUAUGUUUCAGCAAUAUGAUGACCGUAUGUAUACUUUCUUAGUGAAUAAUGUAGGCGACAUAUGUUUCCUCACCCCAACCCCACGAAUUAUUGACCAAGAAUAGAGAAUAAAAAUAAUUGACCAAUAGUUGACCACUGUGUUAACAUACAAUUCCUGAUCAUUUAGCUAUACAUCAUUGUUUAACCUGACCGUGCAUAUAUAUAAAGUAAGCGUUUGUGUAGUACAUGAAAUAUUCUUGGACAAUGAAGACCCUAAACCCUACGUGCAGAUAUGCAAAAUAUUCCCCUGCUACCUCUCGGUGAUAUCACUAAUGGGUGUCAACCAUUCUCGGUGGACCUUGACGAGAAAAAAGAGCAAAUAAAGGCUCGGAGGAGAGCUGCUUAUCGAAAGAAAAAAGAGGAGGCAGCCAGCAAGCAACUAGAUGAAAAACAGCCUGAGGAAGAACACAAGGGUGACUUAACGGACGAGCAAACUGAGCAGAGAAACGCGCGGAAGCGAGCAAGUUAUCGGAGAAAAGUGGGGGACGGAACGAUCGAUCUUCAAGAAAAAAAUCAGAAGUUGCAAGAAUGGCGCGUGCAACACCCUAAAACCAUGACUGAGGAUGAAAGGGGGGAGUCAAGUGCAAAGAGAAAGGCAAAGUAUGCUGCAAAGAAAUACAUGCCAUGUGCUGAAUCGAUCGCAAUGCCACGUCCAGAUCUAAGUAGCACAUUGUCCAACCCUCACACACAUUGUCCGACUCUCACACUUUCAGCCCUCACGCAACAAUUCGACAGUGAACAAAUAGAUCAUGCUCCUACGAUCAAUGCGGCCCCCACAUACAUUCGCAACACCGAAACCGAUGGUACAUAUCCUAUCAACCAUCAUCUUUCAUCAUGUAAUAAUUCAUGAGAUAUAAAUAAUGAUGUAUAGUGUUGUAGGUGCAUACCUAAGCAGAACCUUCGGUGAUGGUGCUGUAGAUGGCGACCUGAUCGAAGGUACAAUAGCGGAUAAUGGAGUGGACGGGCAGAGUCAUGAGUCCAGAGCAGCGCCUGGGAGGAGAGAGCGAGCUUGCAAGGGUGGUGUGGUGGCAAAGAAGGGUCAACAGAAAAUUGUGAAGCAAAAAAAAUGUAUGCAGGUAGCGCAUGGUGAAAGGAAUGUUCUACGCGAUCGACGUAAUGAAAAGUUUGCAGGUAGGGUGAUGACCCCAACCGUCAGGUCCAUCUCCAUUCCGAAAAUGAGCUCAACUGGACAACCUACCGUAGUGGAAGCACAUGGUGCCUCGACCUCAUCUAGCACGCCGGAGUACACGAUCAGAAGUGAAGGUAAAACUCCCAUCCUUACUCUUCUUGCGUCCCUUGAGACUGAACCCUCAUUUAUUGGUUCCGUACCUGAGCAGACGACAUGGACGCUUACCUUAGUCGUCUCAUGAAUGAUAAUGUCAACCCUGAUAGCCUCUUUGACGACGAGUAUUACCUGUUUGCUGGUGAAGGUAUGUACACCCACUUGAGCAACAUGCACCCGUUUGAAAUAUCACACUAAUUAUAAAAAUUGUAUGCAGGCUCAGAUCCUGAUGACGUGGAGCACGACGAAUUGGAAGACUCAAGACACAAUACCUAUGUCGACCAUGAUCCAUUGGACUAUGUCUACUCAAACCUCCCAGACCACACACACAUCCUGAAGCACGCCGCAAAUUGCGAUCACUGCAAGGCCAAGAAGUUUGUGUCUGAGGCCCCGGGAUUCUGCUGUCGCAGUGGGCAGAUCCAGCUGAAGCAACCGGAGCCCGUCCCGGAGCUAAUGAGGCUUUGGUCUAGCAUGGAUUCUGACUCAAGGCAUUUUCGGGAUAACAUACGAUUCUUCAACGGCCACUUCUCCUUCACAACCCUCGGCGUCAGCAUUGAUGAAAGCUACACAAACAUGAAGUCUGGGGUGUACACGUUCCGGGCGCACGGCACCAUCUACCACAACGUUCAUUCCUUCGGGCCAACAUCAUGUCCAGAUCAUCUACAGUUGUACUUCUACGACGACGAUCCAGGCCUAACCCAUCGCAAGGCUGCCACCGAGCAAUUAGACCAAGAUGUCGUCAAAAAGUUAGUGGACAUACUCAGGGAAAACCCGUACUCCCAGCAGUUUAGGAGUUUGGGUGCGCACAGGGACAACCUCGACGAUUACAGGAUAGACCUCAACACUGACCAGAGACUAGACCAACGGAAGUAUAAUAGACCUCUGUCAUCGGAGGUCGCUGCAAUUUGGGUGGAGGGCACUGACCUAGCAAAGAGGUUCGAUCGUAGGAUUACACUUUGCGGGAAUGACAACCAGAGGCACAGUAUACAUGUGACGGCUGGCUCGUAUGACCCUCUCUCUUACCCACUCUUCUACCCAAGGGGGGAGCUCGGUUGGCACCCGAAACUUCCUAAACGUGAUGUCCCUUGGCCGGUUGUGCAACAACCAAGAGGUAGAGGUGAUGAUGAUGAGGAUGAGGAUGCAGGUAAGCCUUAUGCAUAUUCCGUCGUUUAGAUGAAUUGUAUACUUCUCAUAUGAAUCCUAAUGUCUGCGUUACUCAUCCAUGUGCAGAGGGGAAUAGCAGGUUAUGCGUCUCGGUGAGAGACUACUACUGUUACAUGCUCCAGACACGACCUGGGAUAUUCAAUCCCAUACUCUGUGGAGCACGAUUGCUCCAGCAAUGGGGGGUGGACAUGUACAUCAAGAUUGAGAGUUGUAGGUUGAAAUGGUACAGGAAGAACCAAACAAAGAUCCGUGCCGACCUGUAUAAAGGAGUUGUUGAUGCAAUUACAUCCGGGGAGACCCGGGCAAGCGCUGUUGGAGUAAGGAUAGUGCUACCUGGAACGUACCCAGGUGGCGACCGCGACAUGAAGCGGAGGCAUAUGGAUGCCAUGGCAAUUGUCCAUACUUACGGGAAGCCUGGCAUCUUCUUGACCAUGACCUGCAACCCUAACUGGGAAGAGAUAACGAAUGAGUUGUUUCCUGGUCAGACAGCGCAAGACCGACCUGAUCUUGUGGCUCGUGUGUUCCAUGGCAAGCUAGAGGCUAUGAAAGAGAUGUUGUUCAAGAAGAAUAUCCUGGGUGUUGUUGUUACACAUGUAUACAUAGUCGAGUUCCAAAAGAGGGGCCUCCCCCACGCACACUUUUUGUUGAUCAUGGAUUCUGCCUAUAAGCUUGUCGUUCCAGAGCAGUACGACCGACUCAUUUCUGCCAAGCUCCCAGACAAGCAAAAGUAUCCUGAACUCCACGCCUUGGUGGUGAAACAUAUGAUGCAUGGACCAUGCGGUGCUCUCAACCCCAAAAAUGUUUGCAUGCAACAGAACGAGUGCAAGUGCAGAUACCCGCGGUCGUUCAAUGAAAACACGGCACAGGGCAAGGACUCAUACCCUGUUUAUCGUCGUCGAGAUAAUGGUCGGCAGGCUAAGGUCCGGGGUAAAAUGUUGGACAACAGAUGGGUUGUGCCGUAUAACCCUUACCUGCUGCAGAUGUUCAAUUGCCACAUAAACGUUGAGGUUUGCUCCAGCAUAAAGGCCGUCAAAUACCUUUACAAGUACAUAUACAAGGGCCAUGAUAGGGCUUCUUUCAGCAUCGACCAGCCUGACGCUGAUGGUAACAUUGAUGAGAUCAAAAGAUACGUAGACGCGAGGUGGGUUACUCCUCCAGAGGCGAUGUGGAGGAUAUUUGGCUUCCCCUUGUGUGCCAGUGACCCGUCUGUCCUACAGUUGCCUCUUCAUCUCCCGAAUAUGCACAGGUUGGCAUUCAAUGAGCAAGCUGACUUGACCGACGUAGUCGCCUCUGAGAAAGCUUCCAAAUCCAUGUUGACAGAGUAUUUCAAAGCUAACCAAAACCACCUGUGGGCUAGGAAUAUAUUGUACAAGGAUUUUCCUGGAAGGUUUACAUGGCAGAAGGGUAAGAAGUAUUGGAAAGAGCGGGUGGAGCGUUAUCAGAUAGGUCGAAUUGUGUCUGCCAAUCCUGCCGAGGGGGAGCGAUACUAUCUGCGUGUGCUGCUAAACCAUGUUGCUGGCAAGACAUCCUAUGAGGACCUGCUCACCGUGGACGGUAGGCUAUGCGGGAGCUUUAGAGAGGCUGCCGAAAGGUUGGGACUCAUCGAGGCAGAUAACACGCUCGACGACUGUCUUACUGAGGCAGAGCAGUGGGCGAUGCCAUGUUCGCUCAGGAGGCUCUUUGCAACAAUUUUGGUGCACUGUGAGCCAGGCGACGUGCGUGGUUUAUGGGAUAGGCACUUCGAGCCUAUGUCUGAUGACUAUCGGGGAUCACACACGUGCCCGAUUGAGGUGGAACAGAUGGUGUUGCUUGACAUUAGGGGUAUGUUGCAGUCCACGGGCAAAGACAUAGCUGAUUUCUCUCUUCCAUGCAUUGACGAUGCAUUCGACCCAACCGAGGGAGAGGCCAGAGAAGUGAUCGAGGAAUCCAACGUCGAUUUUGACAUCAACGACACUAAAUUGGCUUCGUCACUAAACUUGGAGCAGAGGGUUGCAUACGACGAGAUACUAGCUUCUAUUGAACGCGCUGAUGGGGAUGUGUUCUUUGUUGAUGGACCGGGAGGUACAGGGAAGACCUUCCUGUACAGGGCGCUGCUCGCCAAGGUUCGAAGCGAGGGAAACAUCGCUAUCGCUACCGCGACGUCAGGCGUCGCCGCUUCUAUCAUGCCUGGAGGCAGGACUGCCCACUCGAGGUUCAAGAUCCCAUUGAGCUGCGACGAUGGCGCCUCAUGCACCUUCACGAAACAGAGUGGUACCGCCAAGCUACUGAGGAUGGCCUCAUUGAUACUAUGGGACGAGGCCACCAUGACUAAGCGACAGGCGGUCGAGGCACUUGACAACAGCAUGCGCGACAUCAUGGGAAGACGGGACCGACCCUUUGGAGGAAAAACUGUUGUGUUUGGCGGGGACUUCCGGCAGGUGCUUCCGGUCGUCAGGAGGGGGUCCCGGGGUCAGAUAAUCGAUGCAACCCUUCGAAGUUCACACCUCUGGAAGGGUAUGCGCCAGCUAAGGCUCGUCACCAACAUGAGGGCUCAUAAUGACACCUGGUUUGCGGAUUACUUGCUAAGGGUAGGCAAUGGCACUGAGGAAGUUGACGAUCAAGGAAACAUACGACUCCCUGAAGAUAUUUGUGUGCCGUCUACAGGCGAGGGUGAUGACCUAGAGAAGCUGAUUGACCAUGUGUUUCCCAGACUAGAUGACAACAUGUCCGAUCCGAAUUACAUGACUUCACGCGCAAUCCUCUCCACCACGAACGACAACGUCGACAAGAUAAACAUAUGCAUGGUAGAGCGUUUUCGGGGAGAAGAAGUAAUCUACCAUAGCUUUGACAAUGCAGAAGAUGACCCGUAUGGCUACUACGCUCCCGAGUUCCUAAAUGGAUUGACUCCCAACGGUCUGCCUCCUUAUACACUCAAACUGAAGCUCAACUGCCCCGUCAUACUUCUGAGGAACAUUGAUCCGCCUAAUGGUCUGUGUAACGGGACGAGGCUUGUGGUGCGAGGUUUCAAGAGGAACGCCAUCGACGCAGAAAUCGUGAUCGGACAACACGCAGGUAGGAGGGUAUUCCUUCCUCGAAUACCCCUAUGCCCGUCUGACAACGACAUGUUUCCAUUCAAGUUCAAGAGGAAGCAAUUUCCUGUAAGGCUUAGCUUUGCUCUGACGAUUAACAAGGCUCAAGGCCAGACGAUUCCGAUUGUUGGCGUGUACCUACCUAAUCCUGUGUUCUCUCAUGGUCAACUCUAUGUCGCACUGUCUCGAGCCACCGCAAAGAGAAACAUAAAGAUCCUCAUUGAGAAGGAGAAGGAGAAGGAGAAUGCCAAGAAGCAAAGCGGUAAACCUAAGAAGCGAAAAAGACCUGCCUUGUCCUUACAAACCUCGAUGAAGAACAUCGUCUAUAAGGAAGUCCUUACAGGCUGAAGUCCGCUCUUAAGAAGCUGGCCGGUUUUGAAUAAGAUAAAGGAUUUACUCUUUUGCUACAGACAAGUUGGUGCUCUUCCGUGUUCUUGUACAAAUAUUUAUCUUUCGAUGUUAGCAACUGAUUAUGUUUAUUCAACAAGUCAAAUAUUAAUAAUAUUGCCUCGGAUUUGUGACUUUGCAAGUUGCCAAUUUUUCCUGUAUGUGACAUUAUUUCUCCUUUUGCCGGAUUGCAUGUAUAUUAUUCUUUUGUUGUUUUGUAAUCAAUCAUCUACUCCAUCUAAACUAGGCUUUGUUUUCCUACAUAAGUAUUGCACACUGCCUGGGUCACUCCGUUGUUGUAAAAUUCACUGGAGUGUUCUACAUUAGAGAAAUAUUUAUGAUGCGGCCCCAAAGCAGGCUCAGUCAAUGUUAUUUAUUUUUGUCAUGUAUAGUCUCUUAUUUGCCCCUUAUUUGAAUUUUAUAAUCGUGGCUUUUCAAUACAUAUCUAAACAGACAUGAUGUGUUUCUAACUACUUAGUUGCAGGUUUGGCACAAGUAAACGGAUGGAUGCGUGUUGACAUCUUCAUGAUCUCACAAAUAUUUCCAGUAGUAUUAUUUUCCUUUCAUUGUGCCAUAUUCUGUCAGUUGCUUUUCCUAUUGCGUGUAUAUUGCAGAUAAAUAAGAGUUUUAAUGAAUUGUUGGAACCUGGACAGUACCACACUUUAUAACCACCUAUUAUUCUGCCACAAAAUGUCCAUUUUAUAGCUUAUCAGGUGCGCUUCUUUCUGUUCGUGCCUUCAAAAUAUCAAACCAGAGGACAUCUACUAAUAUAUUUUUGUAGCUCUGUUGCUUCCCAUGGUACAUGAGCUAUCACUGUGGUUCAUCUACUAAUAUAUUUUUGUAGCUCUGUUUUCAUGUGAACAUUGUAUACAUGGCAUGUACUAUGAAAGAACAGUAUGUACAUAUCGGUAUUUUUUUUUCUAUGUCACAUGCAUCUGAUCCUAUCGUUCUCCCUAUAUGUCGUCCAAACACAUCUAUAUGAACCUAUAUGUCGUAAAAGUGCAUAUGUACUUCUCAGUUCUUAUAGAGAACGAAAACUGGGUGGCACGCAUUAUCAGAGUUGUGUAUAAUCAUUUAGGGAAAUGUGAAAAAGUAAAAAUCCCGUGAAUUGGGAAUACAGAAAUUCAAGUAGGUAGGAAGUAAUGACAUACCAAAUGAUAAAGAAUAGCACCACUGCAGCUACAAAAUCGCAAUCGGGUGCUCAAAGCUCUGAACUCAAUUCACCCUGAAAAACAUAGUCAUCUGAAGUCAGACUGCAUGAUAGUCGGAUGGGACAAAAUCAAUUGACUGUCUAAAACCUUCCAUAGGGGACAUACAAAUAUUUUGCGGUAUAUAGGUUCCUACUGACAGUUCAAGAAAUGCAAACAUAUAGCACUAUUAUGUUAAAUAGGUCACCCUAAACCAUGCUAUAGAUUAACCAUGGUCAUGAGCCCAAGCAUAAUGACUACCCGUACAAAGCAAAAAAUAGGACCUUGGAGAUAUGUAAUGUAAAGUCAAAAAUAAUAAUUAUCAUGCUUUCCUUUUGUUCCCUGAAUCGAUAUUUUUAGAAAGCAAAAUGGAAAUACAAGGCACACAUCGUUAAGAAAGAGAUGGUCAUAUUCUAAUAUUAACUCCUGCUCAUUGUGGACGGAAGGCUAUGUGGUAGAGCCAACAGCCGACCAAAACACCUGUAUUAGGAGGGGAUUUGUUACCUCGAUGUGUUGAUAAGGCAAUGGAUUGGUCAUGUCCCACAGGAUCACGCAGUGGACGUAGUCAUUGACACAUUGGGGAAUCGGCUCGGG
RNAcentral lists this long non-coding RNA (10378 nucleotides) under Triticum aestivum (bread wheat). Its description in RNAcentral is "long non-coding RNA (TAES_LNC000829)". The record is from RNAcentral. Lineage: Eukaryota; Viridiplantae; Streptophyta; Magnoliopsida; Poales; Poaceae.